CAGCAUUGUGGUUUAACAUGUAGAAUACGGGUUUUGGGGAUUCGGGGUCUUUUCAUAAGCUUGCUGA
RNAcentral lists this transfer RNA (67 nucleotides) under Plagiorchis multiglandularis. RNAcentral describes it as "tRNA-Pro". Lineage: Eukaryota; Metazoa; Platyhelminthes; Trematoda; Plagiorchiida; Plagiorchiidae. The record is from RNAcentral.